This 298-nucleotide long non-coding RNA is filed under the name Panax ginseng (ginseng). RNAcentral describes it as "long non-coding RNA (PGIN_LNC012018)". The record is from RNAcentral. Lineage: Eukaryota; Viridiplantae; Streptophyta; Magnoliopsida; Apiales; Araliaceae.
AAGGAUUAGAAAAACUUGCUCGAAGAAAAUUUAAGCGAUUGCACAAUUCUAAAAGUAGAGUUAAAGAACUUGCAUUAUUAUAUUGGAAACAAUAAUUGAUUCAAUCAAGAUAAUGGAUUAGAAAACUUGCAUUACUAUAUUGAGAACAAUACUUGAUUCUAAUUACAAAAGUAGAGUUAGAGAACUUGCCUUGCUCGUAGGCUAAACCAAAUCAAUACGUAUCACAAUAUCCUAUAAACAUAUGUCACCAUAACAUAAUUAGUCAUUACCAUCUUACAAACAUAACAAAGUACGUUCA